Non-coding RNA from Meleagris gallopavo (turkey), 7014 nucleotides. The record is from RefSeq and is a predicted model, not a curated record. Lineage: Eukaryota; Metazoa; Chordata; Aves; Galliformes; Phasianidae.
AAAUGCCCCUUCAGCCUUACUUUGAGAUCAUGAGAGGAGUUGAAAUAUGAGCUUAAUGCUGGCCCUCUGCCUAGGAGUGAAUUUUGCCUGUAGGAGAGAAAAUGAAUGAUGUAUCCUUUCAUAGAAUUUCCAGAUAAACCAACAUGCCAGUCUUGUUGUAGUUCAGGUUUUCUCAUGCAGUUGUACACAUUACCUAGUCCUCACCCUACAUCCAUACUGAUUGAUUUGCCAUAUUCACUUGCAUUUUGGGGAUGAAGACAUCCUUGCUAAGCUUGUGCUGUGUGUUCUCAGAUUUUCUAUUCUUGUUCUUCUGCUUUCUCUGUUCCUUCCAUUGCUUUCUGCAGGUAUUUAAACCCAUGGUUCAAAAGAGAAUAUAAUGUAGCUAAGUGGGUAGAAGAUGUGAAUAAAAACACUGAAGGACCAUACUUUAGGACGCUGUCUCCUGCAAAGUCCCCAUCUUCAUCCACUGGAUCUAUUGCUUCCAGCAGAAAAUACCCUUAUCCAAUGCCUCCACUUCCUGACGAGGAGAAGAAAGCAAACAGGCAAAGUGCCAGGCUAUGGGAGACUUCCAUUUAGCUGCACCGUUUUCCUGGGAUGACGCGAGAACUUUUUACUUUAAAUUCUGUACAAACUCAGCACCACUGAGUCGUUGCACAUUCAUCUGCUCUUCAGACAAUUCAAAAGAUCAACACAGAUGCCCGUGACCGCAGUGAGAACCUCCUCUCAUCUGGAAGGGAAAAAGCAGUCUCUUUUUUCUUUUUUUCCUUCUCUUUUGUUUUCUGAUCAAGCAGAACUUUACAGACUUGAUGUAAAGAACAACCCAAACCAUCCCACCUACCAGGGGACCAUCAGAUGGACGUGACGAGGCUGUUCCGCACGGUACCAGACACGCUCACCCCACAUCCCGCCUGGGAGAGGGUUGGGGUUUUCCCUUGGCUUAGUGCAGCUCCAGGUCACGCUGACCGGCCUUGGGAAUGCGCACUCAGGAGAAGCUGGCCGAUGUAAACUUGUACGCUGUGUGCAUGAACCUUGUGUUCUUUACUUUCCACGUGUAAGGGAUAAACAACAUACUGUAGUAGAAAUUAGCAUGUAGGAGUAAGAAAUAUAGGAUUUUUUUUACAGGAUUUCAAGCUUUGAAAGGCAACUCUUUGAACCUAAACAUCAAACAAACAAGGAUUAUAUCUUUUUUUUUUUUAACCCUACGUGUUUAUAAUCUCAGUAUACAGAUUGUAUAUAUGUAAACAUUUGAUAAUGUCAAAAAUAGCUAUUAUACAUAAGUGUAUUUUGCCAAAUGCCUAAAGAAACAUGACUAACAUCACACUUCAAAUUUUCUAAUAUAUGAGCAGACAACUUUGGAAAUACAGAAAGUACAGUACUGUAAAACCACGUCACAUAAACUGGUUUUUGACCAAAACCUGUACUAUCUUCCAAGUAACCGACAAUCUCAAUUGUAUGGUGGAAUGCAGGAACCAGUAUGGUGGCACUUUGUCUUAAAUCAUCGUAAGGGGAAGCAGCCAAAAAGCGCUGUUCAGUGCGAUGACCCAACCCGACACUGGGGCGAUCAGGAACGAUCCUGUAGACAACAGAGACAGAGCCUCGAACUAACAUGCAGUACCAACUUCCAGGAAAUCUGGGAAUAACUUCUACAUACUCAAUUCAGGAUGUGGUGAUGUGAAGUCCUCUGGCAAGACUUGCUGUGUAUUUCUGAUAGAGCACUUCAGAUGCUGUUUUGGAUGAGACAGUGUAACUUACGAGAAACCUAACAAUUUCACUGCACUAGAUAAUACCAAUGCUGGGCAAGUGGCCAGUGUCAUUGCUGUCUUUUCAUUUGUUUGUGGAGUCUCCUUUACCAUGUGCUCGAUUGCUCUGCUUGCUGCCUCUGAUGUCCCCUUGAAAUGUUUGGGUGGCCGUAAACUGAGUACAAGUGAGUUUAGCCAGAAAAAGUGGAAAAAAGUCCCAACACUUUUAUCAUGGAGAUGUUGGUCUCCUGAAUCAAUGGAUAGUUAGCUUUUGAAUACUGAGACUUCUAAAAGGUGUCUGUUGUAAUACAAAGGUGGACAUUUCCAUUCAGUAAGAAAACUGGACCGUGUUUAAUCAAUCUAUAAUUCUCCAGCUCUCCAAAAAUGAAAAAUUUCUAGCUUCAAGCAGUGCCAUGACAGAACAAUAUACCUGAUUCUGUAUGGUACAAUUGAAUACCUUACCCAACAGCUGAAUUAUCAAUUAGAUAUUAUCCUGAUGGGAACAUCCACAGUGUUUCUGAAUCUUCUACCUCUUUCAUGCAUUUCCCUUAAGAAGUAAAGCCAACACUUUCAGCCUCUUAAUAUAUUUUUUUAACUCUUAAGUAAUUGAAUAAAGUUGGAUAUAUGUAAGAUUAAAUUAAGAAAUGUUUUAAGAUGUCAGCAAGUAUAAAAUAUAUAAGAUUUUUAGAAGCACUAUAUUUUAUGAUUAGGCUGUGUGUUAGAUUGUAACAAAAUGUUGACCUUGGAGUUCCAGUGAUUUCCUUCACAGUCAGCAGGUUCUGGUAAGUAUUUUAUAAAAAGGCAAAUAUGAGUGAGUACAAAGUACAAGACAGAAUGUAUUGAAUGAGCCAGCCACUAGUAAUUGCUUUAGGAAAAGAUUCUGCACUUUUGUGAAGAGUGAAUAGCUAUCAGCACAGAAAAAUAUUUUUUGCAAAGAUUUACUUUGAGUGUAGGUAACUGGAUUAAAAGUAGUCGAUAAUGCAUAGCUCAUGAAGUUGGGGCCUGAGCCAUGAUCACCUGAAAUCAAUAGAAGUCUGUUAUCGAUUCCACUGGAAGCUGAGCAGAACCCUCAAGGAGUUCACCUCAAUUAGGAAAUUAUGCUAACCCGAUAGCCUCUCUGUUAUUCUGUUGCCUUUUAGCUUCUUUUCCCUUUUGUCUUAGAAUUUUGUCUCAAAUAACUGGACUGUUCAUCACGUGCCUUUUACGAUAUUUUGUUUGGUUACAAACUAGCAUUUUGAUUUUGAAUAAUGUUAGAUUUCUGUGCAUAUUUCAUACUCACCACCCUUUACUCUUCCCUUUCCAUUCUGCCUUAUCAAGAAGCAGCAAGAUUUGGCAAACAGAACUGGAUGUAACAUAUUGGCUGUUUGUAUAAUGUUCAUAGCUUCUUGUUUUGAAAACAAAUGGCUCUCCUGACUGUAUUUUCAACAUACUAUGUACUUACUGCUUCUUACGUGUUUUGGUAUAAUACAUUCGUAGCAUAUCAUGAUCCAGUUGUGUCACAUUUGGAGAUAUGUAGUAACUGGAAGUCUAGUUAUGACUUCUGAGAUUAAUAAACAUUGACUUCCACUUUGAUUGUCUAGAGUGAGAACAUCACAAAACGUUCAUUUUUUUGCAGAAUUCUUCUGCAGAAAAUCGUGCAUUAAGUUGGCAGCCUGGAGAUUUUGUCAUGGCACAAAACCUGAACGUGUAUGGCUCUGAAAGCCUCUAAUGCCAAUGGAGGCCAAAGAAGAAUGCUUUCAUUCUGUGCUUUCCUACUUUUAAAAUGUGUUGAAAGCUGCCAGAUUAGUGACUGCAAGUAUCUUUACCCACAAUAAUUGGUUACACUGGCAAUAGCAAUAUAAAUAGCUGCAUAAUCCCUCAUGUAGUCUAAAAUAGAGUACUUGUAUGGUUAGUAAGAUAGCUCAGUCAUUUUGACUCCUUCAGACUCAGGCUUGUUUUUGCCAGCUAUGCUGAAUAUCCAGAUAUGUUGAAGUGGGGAGGUUCUCAGUUCUUCUCAGAUACAUUAUAAUUACCUGUCCAUACGAGCGUACAAACAGCAAGAUCAGCUAAACUAAUCCUAGUCUUGUAUUUCAACAUGUGGGAGAAGAACCGUGUAUAAUUUAAAAUAAAAUUAAUAUCGCUAACUGAUGGAGACUGAAAAAUACAGACUCUAUUCAAAUAAUAAGGCUGCACAGUGAUGCUGCAAUUUAACAACUAAAAAUCUACCUGCUAAUUUUGGAUUUGUUGAGGCGAGAACUUCAUUAAUCCAUGCUAUUGCCAUUUGGUGAGUGCACUCAGGCAGUUUACCAGUAAUGGUGGGGACUGAAAAUUUACAUAUAAUUUUGUUACCCGAUAAGAAGUGUGAGAUGCAUCUUUGAAGACAGUGACUUCCAAAUAUUUUAAGAGUUUUGUUCCUGAUUAAUGAUAUGUUAACCCAGCUAAGCCGAUGUACUCAUUAGUUAAUUUUGAUUAUGCUAAUGAACAAAUGGGCCUUUGGGCUAUAACCUGAACUAAAGAGAAAGAAAUUGUGUCAAGCUAGUGUACUGAAGUCCUCUUACCUGAAUCACUUGCUGGUAUUAAAUGGACUGAGUGGUCUUGUCAACAUUGAUUGAAACAAUUGUUUUCAAAACCAGGACUAAGAGUAGGUCUGUACAUUAAUACAGGCAUGCAUAUAUUACAAAUUCAGACCAACUUUUCAGUCAUUGUAUCAUGGACAUCCUCAAUGUGCUAAAGGAUCUGUUGGAAUAGAGAAUAUAUGAAGUUAGAUUUUGCCAGCAGGAUAUAACGUGAAACAAUUAUGAGACUCCAUAAGUCAAAGUGAUAAUAGAUGGGCUCUUAGCAAUUGCUCUGUUAUUAAAUCCCAUAUCUAGUUGUCGUAAGCAGACUUACCAAAUUCCAGUGUAAAACUCAGCAUGCAGAAGUUCUCCGUUCCUCUCUUCCAUUCUCUUUCCACUCCUACUGAAAAGCAUUCCCAAAUAGCAGCCCCUUGUGUUGGUUUGCUACGAUACACAAGCUGCAAGUUAGCUGUCCUUCCACCCAACAUCCUAGGUAAGGUCUUUCCAGUGCUUUUGCUUAUGUUACAGUAUGGGUGAAAGAGCCUCGUGUCUCAUUUGCAAUGGUAGAACCAUUUGGUGAUUUUCAUCCAGGUUUUCAUCUCAUCCUCUAGUGUUUUGGAUGGAGAAGUCUCUUUCUUUGAUCACUGUAAUCUAAAAGUUGUGCUGUCUCCCGUUUCUCUUGCUCCAAGUCUCAAGGCUAUCUAAUUCUUCCUGUAAGCUAUCUGAAUAUCUGCAUCAUUAUUGUUGUUUGGGCCAAUGUUAUCAACCACAAUGUAAAGUUGAUUUAUCUCAUUUUUUAAGAACUUAAGCAUUCUGGUCUCAAAAGUUAGGUUUUUUUUUUUGCUCCAAAUGCAUCAUCUAUCAGACUGCUGAUGACCCACUGUUUGCAUGGCUUCCAAACCACGUGACGUCUAGCAGCAAUAUGGGAUUUGUCUUCUAUCAGAUUUCCUGGAGACAAAUAUGAGCAAACUGCACGUUUGUACAGCUUGCCAUCCCAUGUCUGCAUGGUAAGGUAAAGUUCCCAUGUACACAUAGCUGCUGCACUAUGACAGAGCAGGAAAAACGGAGAACAGUGAAGCUGACUGUGCAGAUAUAGUUGCAGCACAAAUAGGAUUCUCCCAGAGACACUAAAACAUUGCUUUGACCCAAAUAUUUUCCAAGUUAACUUACGAAAAGUAUUUCUGGUGCCUCAGGUACGGACGCUGAUAAAACUUAAGCCUUGGAAACAUUAACUCUUCCAGCCAGCAGGUGGUACUGUGUCAUCCCAGAGCAUUUUGCUGUUACAAACACACUACAACCGUCAACAUAAAUGUGUUAUCUCAGGCAAGUAAUCAAAACGAUGUUCAGAACACGAGAAAUGUUGUACCUGACUUUUAAGUUGGCUCACCUUGCUGAGUCUGCUGUUUUUAGUUCUUUUUAAAAAGUACUUCAGCUAAAGCACCCUUAAACUCUUUGAAAACUUUGGUUACACAGGCUGCAAUGGCUGUAAUGGCAAUCUAGCACAGCAGGAAGAUAAUGAAAUGCAGAGCAGCCUUCUGAAGGAAGAAGCCUAGGUGUCAUGCUGUUUUUCGUUCCUGGAGCAUAGAAUGUCAAAGCAACAAGCUAUUUUUUCUGUUUCUCUACUCCUGUAACUAAGAAAAAAGCAGAAGUUUUGGUUAUAAAAAAGUCUCGGGGCCUUAAGAUCUUAUAUAUUCUAAUUUCAGCAUGGAGAGUCUAUUUUUACAGUCAAAUUAGAAAUUCUGUAUAUAGGCCUGACUGACCUUGUAAGUAUAGUGGUGCUAGCAGCUAAUCAUGCAAUAUUGUAAGGCUCUGUAUAACAGUAAAUUCUGGCUUAUUUUGGUGAUUGGUACAAGGAUUCUUGCUCACUGCCUGUGUAAAGAAUCUGCCUAUUUUAUGCUUGGAAAUACAGCCCACAACAUAUUCAAACUAUGAAUAUAUAACCUGAUUUUUCCCUUCUUAAGGGUAAAGAUGUAUUCCAAUAGGUAGUGUUUUAUAUAGAAUACAGUACUUAUUUUUAUUGUUGCAUAAAUGCAAAAUAUUUUUUUUCAGAAUAGCAAAGCAUUACAGAAUUUUUAAUCUGCUGGAGAAAACACUCUUUACAACAUGACCACUUCUUUCUGCAAAGCUUUUGGGGUGCUGUCUCCCAGCUGGCUUCAUUUUGUGCUGAUGAUAAUCCUGGACAUUGCUGUAAGAGAAAGCUACCUAUUUUUCCAGUCCUGCUAGCCCUGACAGGUAAAACAUUCAGAGAGGCAACAAUUGUUUCACCGUUGGGGUUGGGUUGAGGUUGGCAGAAACAACCAAUCUACAUCACAUUGUUGUCUCUGCUGGUUAAAAUCCUUUAAAAAUUGUACGUGAUGUAAUAGAAGCAUAAGAUUUUGACAAACACCAAAAUGAAGCACUGCAAUUCACAACUUCCAUCUUUGAGCGUGAUAUUUUUAUCAUCAGCGUUACAGGCAUUGGGCUGUUGAAGUGAAUGAAUUUGGCUUUCAUGUAGCUGAACAAAACGUUGCUUUUUAUAAAAUAAGAUCGCUGUAAUUCGGGAUUCUAAAUUCCUGCUCACUUUUAAUAACAGCAUCACAUAUCUACUUCUAUGAGAGUAUUUAAUACAAAUGCCUGUGGUUUUCAAUGUUACUAACAUAUUGUAACAUCAGUAAAGUGACUUUCAAUGACAAAGACCAUGUGUGUAUUUUCCUUCUUGUUCAAAUUACUGUAUUUAUCACAUUUACAUCCUGUUUUAAAGA